AACGCACAUUGCGCCCUCUGGUAUUCCGGAGGGCAUGCCUGUUCGAGCGUCAUUAUGACCAAUCAAGCACUGCUUGGUAUUGGGGCCCGCUGUACCGGCGGCCCUUAAAAACAGUGGCGGUGCCGUCUGGCUCUCAGCGUAGUAAUUUUUCUCGCUAUUGGGCCCGGUGGUUACUUGCCAAAACCCCCAACUUUCUUAGGUUGACCUCGGAUCAGGUAGGGAUACCCGCUGAACUUAA
This 238-nucleotide unclassified non-coding RNA is filed under the name Gonytrichum sp. RNAcentral's name for it is "partial contains 5.8S ribosomal RNA, internal transcribed spacer 2, and large subunit ribosomal RNA". The stretch from base 1 to 52 matches the Rfam family "5.8S ribosomal RNA", at positions 103 to 154 of the family's 154-position model. Lineage: Eukaryota; Fungi; Ascomycota. The record is from RNAcentral.